RNAcentral lists this ribosomal RNA (800 nucleotides) under uncultured bacterium. Its description in RNAcentral is "bacterial SSU rRNA". It matches the Rfam family "Bacterial small subunit ribosomal RNA", at positions 8 to 808 of the family's 1533-position model. The record is from RNAcentral.
AGAGUUUGUUUCUGGCUCAGGACGAACGCUGGCGGCGUGCCUAACACAUGCAAGUCGAGCGGGGACUUACGAAUGAAGUUUUCGGAUGGAAUUUGUAAGUUCUAGCGGCGGACGGGUGAGUAACGCGUGAGCAACCUGCCUAUCACUGGGGAAUAACGCAGCGAAAGUUGUGCUAAUACCGCAUGAGACCACAGCAUCGCAUGGUGCAGGGGUCAAAGAUUGAUUCGGUGAUAGAUGGGCUCGCGUCUGAUUAGAUAGUUGGUGAGGUAACGGCCCACCAAGUCAACGAUCAGUAGCCGACCUGAGAGGGUGAUCGGCCACAUUGGAACUGAGAAACGGUCCAAACUCCUACGGGAGGCAGCAGUGGGGAAUAUUGGGCAAUGGGCGCAAGCCUGACCCAGCAACGCCGCGUGAAGGAAGAAGGUCUUCGGAUCGUAAACUUCUAUCCUUGGUGAAGAUAAUGACGGUAGCCGAGAAGGAAGCCCCGGCUAACUACGUGCCAGCAGCCGCGGUAAUACGGGGGAUGCAAGCGUUGUCCGGAAUCAUUGGGCGUAAAGAGUUCGUAGGUGGUUUGUUAAGUCUGGUGUUAAAUGCAGAGGCUCAACUUCUGUUCGGCACUGGAUACUGGCAGACUUGAAUGCGGUAGAGGUAAAGGGAAUUCCUGGUGUAGCGGUGAAAUGCGUAGAUAUCAGGAGGAACAUCGGUGACGAAAGCGCUUUACUGGGCCGUAAUUGACACUGAGGAACGAAAGCCAGGGUAGCAAAUGGAAAUAGAUACCCCAGUAGUCCUGGCCGUAAACG